RNAcentral lists this ribosomal RNA (581 nucleotides) under uncultured Pseudomonas sp. Its description in RNAcentral is "bacterial SSU rRNA". It matches the Rfam family "Bacterial small subunit ribosomal RNA", at positions 52 to 628 of the family's 1533-position model. The record is from RNAcentral. Lineage: Bacteria; Pseudomonadati; Pseudomonadota; Gammaproteobacteria; Pseudomonadales; Pseudomonadaceae.
CACAUGCAAGUCGAGCGGAUGAAGGGAGCUUGCUCCUGGAUUCAGCGGCGGACGGGUGAGUAAUGCCUAGGAAUCUGCCUGGUAGUGGGGGAUAACGUCCGGAAACGGGCGCUAAUACCGCAUACGUCCUGAGGGAGAAAGUGGGGGAUCUUCGGACCUCACGCUAUCAGAUGAGCCUAGGUCGGAUUAGCUAGUUGGUGGGGUAAAGGCCUACCAAGGCGACGAUCCGUAACUGGUCUGAGAGGAUGAUCAGUCACACUGGAACUGAGACACGGUCCAGACUCCUACGGGAGGCAGCAGUGGGGAAUAUUGGACAAUGGGCGAAAGCCUGAUCCAGCCAUGCCGCGUGUGUGAAGAAGGUCUUCGGAUUGUAAAGCACUUUAAGUUGGGAGGAAGGGCAGUAAGUUAAUACCUUGCUGUUUUGACGUUACCAACAGAAUAAGCACCGGCUAACUUCGUGCCAGCAGCCGCGGUAAUACGAAGGGUGCAAGCGUUAAUCGGAAUUACUGGGCGUAAAGCGCGCGUAGGUGGUUCAGCAAGUUGGAUGUGAAAUCCCCGGGCUCAACCUGGGAACUGCAUCC